RNAcentral lists this ribosomal RNA (374 nucleotides) under uncultured eukaryote. RNAcentral describes it as "partial 18S ribosomal RNA". It matches the Rfam family "Eukaryotic small subunit ribosomal RNA", at positions 592 to 976 of the family's 1831-position model. The record is from RNAcentral.
CAAGAGCGUAUGUAAAAGUUGUUGCAGUUAAAAAGCUCGUAGUUGAACCUUGGGUUUGGUUGGCCGGUCCGCUUUUUUGCGAGUACUGGAUUCAACCGAGCCUUUCCUUCUGGCUAACCAGUCGUUUCGGCGGCUGGCGAACCAGGAUUUUUACUUUGAGAAAAUUAGAGUGUUCAAAGCGGGCAUUAGCUUGAAUAUAUUAGCAUGGAAUAAUAGAAUAAGACGUUAUGGUUCUAUUUUGUUGGUUUCUAGGACCAUCGUAAUGAUUAAUAGGGACGGUCGGGGGCAUCAGUAUUCAGUUGUCAGAGGUGAAAUUCUUGGAUUUACUGAAGACUAACUACUGCGAAAGCAUUUGCCAAGGACGUUUUCAUUAA